This 1062-nucleotide ribosomal RNA is filed under the name uncultured organism. RNAcentral describes it as "bacterial SSU rRNA". It matches the Rfam family "Bacterial small subunit ribosomal RNA", at positions 331 to 1423 of the family's 1533-position model. The record is from RNAcentral.
CCAGACUCCUACGGGAGGCAGCAGCAGGGAAUAUUGCGCAAUGGACGGAAGUCUGACGCAGCGACGCCGCGUGGAUGACGAAGGCCUUCGGGUUGUAAAAUCCUUUUCCGGGCGAUGAGGAAGGACACUAGCCUGGGAAUAAGCGUCGGCUAACUACGUGCCAGCAGCCGCGGUAAGACGUAGGACGCGAGCGUUAUCCGGAUUUACUGGGCGUAAAGCGCCUGCAGGCGGUCAGGUAAGUCGGUUGUGAAAGCCCCGUGCUCAACGCGGGGAGGCCAAGCGAUACUGCGUGACUUGAGGGCGGAAGAGGGGAGUGGAAUUCCCGGUGUAGCGGUAAAAUGCGCAGAUAUCGGGAGGAACACCAGUGGCGAAGGCGGCUCCCUGGACCGCACCUGACGCUCAGAGGCGAAAGCUAGGGGAGCGAACAGGAUUAGAGACCCUGGUAGUCCUAGCCCUAAACGCUGGAUGCUAGGUGUAGGGCUGAUGAGGCUCUGUGCCGGAGCGAACGCGAUAAGCAUCCCGCCUGGGAACUACGGCCGCAAGGCUAAAACUCAAACGAAUUGACGGGGACCCGCACAAGCAGCGGAGCGUGUGGUUUAAUUCGAUGCUACACGAAGAACCUUACCUGGGUUUGACAUGCUGGUGGUACCGAACCGAAAGGGGAGGGACCCUUCGGGGAGCCAACACAGGUGCUGCAUGGCUGUCGUCAGCUCGUGCCGUGAGGUGUCGGGUUAAGUCCCGUAACGAGCGCAACCCUUGCUCUUAGUUAUACGUGUCUAAGGGGACUGCCGGCGACAAGCCGGAGGAAGGUGGGGAUGACGUCAAGUCAGCAUGGCCUUGAUAUCCAGGGCUACACACACGCUACAAUGGCCGGUACAAAGGGCAGCCAAGCCGCGAGGUGGAGCGAAUCCCAGCAAAGCCGGUCCCAGUUCGGAUUGCAGGCUGCAACCCGCCUGCAUGAAGUUGGAGUUGCUAGUAACCGCGCGUCAGCCAUAGUGCGGUGAAUACGUACCCGGGUCUUGUACACACCGCCCGUCACGUCAUGGGAGUUGGCAACGCCUG